AACAACAGCAACUCAUUUCUUACAAUUCUGGAGGCCGAGAGAUUCAAGUUCAAGGUGCCUGUGGAUCCAGUAUCCAGUGAUGGUCCAUAUCUAACUUGAUGAUGACACCUCCUUGCUAUGUUCCCACAGGAGAAAGAAAAGCAACUCCCCAAGGCCUUUCUUAAGGACACUAAUCCCAUUUGGAAAGACUUUGACCUCCGACUUAAUCACCCCCCCUACCAAAGGCCCCCCUACCUCAUAAUUCCAUCCCACUGGUGAUUAGGGUUUCAAUUUACAAAUUUCAGGAGGAUUCAUUCAGACUCUACAAGAGCCUCAAAUGAAGUCGCUUGACUGGUUGAACUGUCCGUCUCCUGCUUGUAAGGACUAAAGGUCAGCUGAAGAAAGUAAAGACACAAAAAGGAUCCAUGAGAGUCGGUGACAGCCCAGCCAGGGAGUGAGCAUUGUUGGAGUUGAUGCUGUGUUACCGCCACUGACUGCUUCAGGGAAAGAAUAUAGCCAACUCACCCUAAGCCCUGGGCAAGAAGGUACCCUGUCCCCACCUCUGCAUAUUGGAGGGUCUUCUUCAGCCUUCCUGGAGAUGAACUUUUCACCCUGGGCUAAGAAUGUGAGGGUUAAGAAGAAAAACCUCCUGGGACAGCAAGAUGGCUCAGUAGGAGAAAAAUGAAAAAUCCAGAAAAGACAAGAGAUCUAAGAACACUACCAUUGGUCCAGUUUUGAUGGCUGGGGAAGAUAGAGUUUGAGGAUGGGAGUAAUUCUGCAUCUUUCACCUAUAGACCUACACUAAGAGCUGGUUCAUAUCUUAUGACUUUAUAUCCUGGCAAGAGUAAGACAUUUUGAGGGACAUUUCCCCCAAAUGACACAGCCAGUCAGCAAUGAUUAAACUGGACACUGUUUGGACAUCAAAUUGCUGGAAGAACAUUAAAGAAGCAAUUACUUAACAAAUUACUGAGCAUAGGAACAAAGGCGUGAAGGAUAAGGACGGCUGAAGGAAGACAAAAAAGACAGCAGAAGCUUCAGCAUUUGCUACCUCU
This is a long non-coding RNA of Peromyscus maniculatus bairdii (prairie deer mouse), 1031 nucleotides long. RefSeq lists it as uncharacterized. Lineage: Eukaryota; Metazoa; Chordata; Mammalia; Rodentia; Cricetidae. The record is from RefSeq and is a predicted model, not a curated record.